GGCGGGUUGCCAGAGAGGCCGAUCGGGGCCGACUGUAAAUCGGCUGCACCACGCCACGCAGGUUCGAAUCCUGCACCCGCCAC
Molecule: transfer RNA, 83 nt
Filed under: Bifidobacterium longum subsp. longum
Lineage: Bacteria; Bacillati; Actinomycetota; Actinomycetes; Bifidobacteriales; Bifidobacteriaceae
Description: tRNA-Tyr(gta)
Rfam family: tRNA
About the family: Transfer RNA (tRNA) molecules are approximately 80 nucleotides in length. Their secondary structure includes four short double-helical elements and three loops (D, anti-codon, and T loops).
Source: RNAcentral